RNAcentral lists this unclassified non-coding RNA (333 nucleotides) under soil metagenome. RNAcentral's name for it is "partial contains 5.8S ribosomal RNA, internal transcribed spacer 2, and large subunit ribosomal RNA". The stretch from base 1 to 120 matches the Rfam family "5.8S ribosomal RNA", at positions 35 to 154 of the family's 154-position model. The record is from RNAcentral.
GAUGAAGAACGCAGCAAAAUGCGAUAAGUAAUGUGAAUUGCAGAAUUCAGUGAAUCAUCGAAUCUUUGAACGCACAUUGCGCCCGCCAUUAUUCUGGCGGGCAUGCCUGUUCGAGCGUCAUUUCAACCCUCAAGCUCAGCUUGGUGUUGGGACUCGCGGUAACCCGCGUUCCCCAAAUCGAUUGGCGGUCACGUCGAGCUUCCAUAGCGUAGUAAUCAUACACCUCGUUACUGGUAAUCGUCGCGGCCACGCCGUAAAACCCCAACUUCUGAAUGUUGACCUCGGAUCAGGUAGGAAUACCCGCUGAACUUAAGCAUAUCAAUAAGCGGAGGA